AGCAGCCGCGGUAAUUCCAGCUCCAAUAGCGUAUAUUAAAGUUGUUGCAGUUAAAAAGCUCGUAGUUGAAUUUCGGGAUCAGUAGGUUGGUCGUGCCACUGGUAUGUACUGGUCUUACUGAUUCCUCCUUCUUGUGGAACUGUAAUGUCAUUAAUUUGGUGUUGCAGGAAAACAGGACUGUUACUUUGAAAAAAUUAGAGUGUUUAAAGCAGGCUAACGCUUGAAUACAUUAGCAUGGAAUAAUGAAAUAGGACGUUUGAUCCUAUUUUGUUGGUUUCUAGGAUUGACGUAAUGAUUAAUAGGGAUAGUUGGGGGCAUUAGUAUUCAAUUGUCAGAGGUGAAAUUCUUGGAUUUAUUGAAGACUAACUACUGCGAAAGCAUUUGCCAAGGAUGUUUUCAUUAAUCAAGAACGAAAGUUAGGGGAUCGAAGACGAUCAGAUACCGUCGUAGUCUUAACCAUAAACUAUGCCGACUAGGGAUCGGAUGAUGUUAAUUUUUAAUGACUC
RNAcentral lists this ribosomal RNA (506 nucleotides) under uncultured Glomus. RNAcentral describes it as "SSU rRNA". It matches the Rfam family "Eukaryotic small subunit ribosomal RNA", at positions 569 to 1077 of the family's 1831-position model. Lineage: Eukaryota; Fungi; Glomeromycota; Glomeromycetes; Glomerales; Glomeraceae. The record is from RNAcentral.